GUAUUACCAUGGGUUCCCUGCAAGCACUUCACGAGGCAUUAUUUAAAAUACCGCCAUGAAGUCUUUGGGGGGACUCUUGGUAUUAC
Triticum aestivum (bread wheat) is the source of this 86-nucleotide non-coding RNA. NCBI's taxonomy places the organism in Eukaryota, Viridiplantae, Streptophyta, Magnoliopsida, Poales, Poaceae. The record is from Rfam.